UACAGAGGGUGCGAGCGUUGUCCGGAAUCACUGGGCGUAAAGGGCGCGUAGGUGGCGGGAUAAGCGUGUGGUGAAAGCCCGGGGCUCAACCCCGGAAUUGCCUCCAAGACUGUGGCGCUGGAGUCCGGAAGAGGAGAGCGGAAUUCCCAGUGUAGAGGUGAAAUUCGUAGAUAUUGGGAAGAACACCAGUGGCGAAGGCGGCUCUCUGGUCCGGUACUGACGCUGAGGUGCGAAAGCGUGGGGAGCAAACAGG
RNAcentral lists this ribosomal RNA (253 nucleotides) under uncultured prokaryote. Its description in RNAcentral is "partial 16S ribosomal RNA". It matches the Rfam family "Bacterial small subunit ribosomal RNA", at positions 524 to 776 of the family's 1533-position model. The record is from RNAcentral.